RNAcentral lists this long non-coding RNA (2467 nucleotides) under Paramuricea clavata. Lineage: Eukaryota; Metazoa; Cnidaria; Anthozoa; Malacalcyonacea; Plexauridae. The record is from RNAcentral.
GUAAUGGCAUACGCUUUGGCCCCUCAGUCUCACUUCCAUGCAGUUGUGACGUAAUUACCGGAAAGGUAAUAGUUUAAUACAAAACAAAAGCUUUUGUUGGGUUUUCCCCGGGCGACAUUUUUUGCAAGUGUUUACCGUGAUUCAAUUUUGUUUAAUAUCAUCUAUUUAAAUAUCUUGUAAGAUAAACAACGUAAUCUAAUUUAGUACUAUGACAUUAUCGAUUUGGUUUGAGAGAAGGGCAAUGAGAAAAUGUUAUUUGGCAGAACUACAGCGCAUUUCUAGCAGUGACAUGAACUCAGAUGUCUGGCCUCAGCAACAUUCAAAUGUAAACAAAAGGCCAUAAAUAGUAUCAGAUUUCAAACGCUCUCAAUUGUUCAAAUCGCGUUUGCAGACGAGUUUUAUUACGGUUUUUAGUACUUCAAAGUGUCCUUUUUCCAACUAUACUAGUCACUGUAUGUAAUUAGGUCCCACUUUUAAGAAAUUCGACGUAGAAAAUAGUAGGAUUUGAAAGCCGUAUUUUGACAUGGCGCUCUUUGUCGCUAAAUAUUGUCACAAAUGCUCUGUAAUUAAAACCUAAGUUAGUUUAGAUGAAAUUACGAUAGUUUUCCGGUGCUGGGUUUGAAUAUCAGAAAUUUUGAACAAAAACUUUUGAAAUUAUGUUUAUUUAAAUUCAGCCCAUUUUUUCGUUUAAUUAGCCGGCGAAUUUCUCCCGCGACGGUGAGAGACCAAAAAAUCUCUAAAACUUUGAAACUAAAUAUAUUUUCAAAAUUCCAAACAGCAUUUGUUUGUUGUUAAAGUAAAUGUAGUUCACGGUAAAAGUUUCGAAGAAAUUUAUUUUUCGAGCCCCAAGUCAGUGGGCGGUUUUUAGAGACACACGCUCUUAAAAUCAGUAGAGUAACUAGAGUUCACUGGUUAAAAUUGAAUCUCCUACUUCGUCGUGUUGAUGUUGAUCCGCCAUCUUGUUUUUAAAUUUGCAAACUCGCAAUGCAUUUUGGGAUUGUUGUUGCCAAAAGAAACGAUUGUUGCCAAACGUGAGGUCAUUGUCAAAUGAUAACAUUUUAGUUUAGUGCAGUAUUAAAUUGUUGUCAAACGAAUUUUUGUUGUUGAAUAUUUUGAUAUUGUCACCAAAUGUUUUGCAGUUGCCAUAAAAUAGUCAGAACCAAUAACCAAAUGAUGUCAAAUCAUUGCCAAAUUGUUUGACAUGCAUGCCAAAUGUUACAAGAUCAUUGUCAAAAUGUUUCACUUAAUUUUGACACACAUCACCCGCCAUAUAAAACAGCAAACUUGCAAACAAUUUGAGGCAUUUAUUAUUAGGGGUGGACCGGAUAUAGUAUCCGGCCGGAUUGUGACAAAAUCGUACUACCCGGUAUCCGGCCGGAUAUUUACUAUUAUCCGGCCGGAUACCGGAUAAUUUGUUUUUCAUGAAGUGCACUAAAUUUCCGUUAAUUGAAACAUAAAAAGUACUAAAAAAAUAGAAAAACAAAAAAGGACAUGUGAAAAAGCUAGCCACUGAUAUAAUUAACUAUUCACAGCUUUUGGCGCCAAAAGCAGUACUAAAUGCCAUCGCUCAAAAACUUUGGGAAGUUUUCGGAAACAUGUGAACGGUGGAAAAAGUUAAAAACAGAUUUUUAGUUAACCAUAAUUGAUUAUUUACACAAAAAUUAAAAUAGUGUCACCUUCUGCACUAAUACAUGGAUGAGAAAAAUCCUUAUAAUAUAUAUUAUAGGCCUAGUAUUCAAAUUGAUCAAAUAUCCGGUAUCCAGGCGGAUAAACCGGCCAGUAUCCGGCCGGAUAGUAAAACUCACUAUUCGUUUUUUUUCUUGAAUUUGUUCAGCAAAACAGGAGCAAAAAAUGCUAUAAACAAAAGCUCAACCUUCUAAAUGUAUUUCAAAAACUAAUUUUUGAACGAAAACAAAUCAUGACAACUUACUUGAACAUAUUUGAAGUAAUUGGACCGUUUUGGACUAUUGUGUGGUUUGGACGUAAAAUAUUGCAAGCUUCAGUCAUUGUUGCGCCUUAAAAUGCAUUUUUGCCAGCAAAAUUUCCAAUUCGAAAGGUAUUUUCGAAAUUCUUGGUUAUAACGAUGAAGAGUAGAAGAAAUCUGUUGUUUAGGUAGUAUUUCUUCUUAAUCGGCAUAUUUCAUAUAAUCAACUCAAUACAGCUUUCUUGUUUGUAGCAGAUAAAAAUUUAGUUCGUUAAGAAACUUGAUUGACAGAUUUUCUUUUCGAUAUUUUAUCCAAUCAAAUUCAAGAUCCAUAAAGUCAUUGUCAAGUUGUUCCUAAUUUGGUAUGCAACUUCGGAACCUGUUUCAGGACGUUGUUUUUCAUUGCAUCUGAAAAUCUGAAGUGAUUUGCUGUUUACAGCUCUAAACGCAUGCAAAUCCUUCAAAAAAGACAAAGAAAUCUAUUUUUGAGGCUUGUCUUAUAAUAAAUCCCAUUGAAUGGUUUAACAUAUAUAAUCCUGCCGA